Molecule: transfer RNA, 75 nt
Filed under: Desulfotomaculum sp.
Lineage: Bacteria; Bacillati; Bacillota; Clostridia; Eubacteriales; Desulfotomaculaceae
Also listed under: 1 other name
Description: tRNA-Thr
Rfam family: tRNA
About the family: Transfer RNA (tRNA) molecules are approximately 80 nucleotides in length.
Source: RNAcentral
GCUGGUGUAGCUCAGCGGCAGAGCAGCGCACUCGUAAUGCGCAGGCCGUCGGUUCGAAUCCGACCACCAGCUCCA